GAUGAACGCUGACAGAAUGCUUAACACAUGCAAGUCUUUGGCGAAGCUGUGCUUGCACAGCCUAGCCAAGGCGGACGGGUGAGUAACGCGUAAGGAACUUGCCCUGCAGUCAGGGAUAACAGACGGAAACGACUGAUAAGACCUGGUAAAGUCAGGCGGACUCAUGUCCAGCCUGAUGAAAAGAGAUGCUGCAGGAGAGCCUUGCGUCCCAUUAGCUUGUUGGUGGGGUAACGGCCCACCAAGGCGAUGAUAGGUAGCCGGCCUGAGAGGGUGGACGGCCACAAGGGGACUGAGAUACGGCCCUUACUCCUACGGGAGGCAGCAGUGGGGAAUAUUGGACAAUGGGGGCAACCCUGAUCCAGCAAUUCUGUGUGCACGAUGAAGGUUUUCGGAUUGUAAAGUGCUUUCAGCAGGGAAGAAAAAAAUGACGGUACCUGCAGAAGAAGCGACGGCUAAAUACGUG
This 463-nucleotide ribosomal RNA is filed under the name uncultured bacterium. RNAcentral describes it as "partial 16S ribosomal RNA". It matches the Rfam family "Bacterial small subunit ribosomal RNA", at positions 28 to 507 of the family's 1533-position model. The record is from RNAcentral.